UUGAACGCUGGCGGCAGGCCUAACACAUGCAAGUCGAACGGCAGCACAGAAGAGCUUGCUCUUUGGGUGGCGAGUGGCGGACGGGUGAGUAAUGUCUGGGAAACUGCCCGAUGGAGGGGGAUAACUACUGGAAACGGUAGCUAAUACCGCAUAACGUCGCGAGACCAAAGUGGGGGACCUUCGGGCCUCACACCAUCGGAUGUGCCCAGAUGGGAUUAGCUAGUAGGUGGGGUAAUGGCUCACCUAGGCGACGAUCCCUAGCUGGUCUGAGAGGAUGACCAGCCACACUGGAACUGAGACACGGUCCAGACUCCUACGGGAGGCAGCAGUGGGGAAUAUUGCACAAUGGGCGCAAGCCUGAUGCAGCCAUGCCGCGUGUAUGAAGAAGGCCUUCGGGUUGUAAAGUACUUUCAGCGGGGAGGAAGGCGGUGAGGUUAAUAACCUCGCCGAUUGACGUUACCCGCAGAAGAAGCACCGGCUAACUCCGUGCCAGCAGCCGCGGUAAUACGGAGGGGUGCAAGCGUUAAUCGGAAUUACUGGGCGUAAAGCGCACGCAGGCGGUCUGUUAAGUCAGAUGUGAAAUCCCCCGGGCUUAACCUGGGAACUGCAUUUGAAACUGGCAGGCUUGAGUCUCGUAGAGGGGGGUAGAAUUCCCAGGUGUAGCGGUGAAAUGCGUAGAGAUCUGGAGGAAUACCGGUGGCGAAGGCGGCCCCCUGGACGAAGACUGACGCUCAGGUGCGAAAGCGUGGGGAGCAAACAGGAUUAGAUACCCUGGUAGUCCACGCCGUAAACGAUGUCGACUUGGAGGUUGUGCCCUUGAGGCGUGGCUUCCGGAGCUAACGCGUUAAGUCGACCGCCUGGGGAGUACGGCCGCAAGGUUAAAACUCAAAUGAAUUGACGGGGGCCCGCACAAGCGGUGGAGCAUGUGGUUUAAUUCGAUGCAACGCGAAGAACCUUACCUGGCCUUGACAUCCAGAGAACUUAGCAGAGAUGCUUUGGUGCCUUCGGGAACUCUGAGACAGGUGCUGCAUGGCUGUCGUCAGCUCGUGUUGUGAAAUGUUGGGUUAAGUCCCGCAACGAGCGCAACCCUUAUCCUUUGUUGCCAGCGGCUCGGCCGGGAACUCAAAGGAGACUGCCGGUGAUAAACCGGAGGAAGGUGGGGAUGACGUCAAGUCAUCAUGGCCCUUACGGCCAGGGCUACACACGUGCUACAAUGGCGCAUACAAAGAGAAGCGACCUCGCGAGAGCAAGCGGACCUCAUAAAGUGCGUCGUAGUCCGGAUUGGAGUCUGCAACUCGACUCCAUGAAGUCGGAAUCGCUAGUAAUCGUAGAUCAGAAUGCUACGGUGAAUACGUUCCCGGGCCUUGUACUCACCGC
RNAcentral lists this ribosomal RNA (1377 nucleotides) under uncultured bacterium. Its description in RNAcentral is "bacterial SSU rRNA". It matches the Rfam family "Bacterial small subunit ribosomal RNA", at positions 29 to 1393 of the family's 1533-position model. The record is from RNAcentral.